UGUUACUUGUUCAUGAUAGAUGGAUUAAUCGCACACCAAGCAGUGGUCAGAUGCGGUAGUGUAGAUUUGUAAUGGUCAGAUGCGAUACUGCAGAUCAAGUAGUUGUCAGAUGCAAUAGUGCAGAACUGUAAUGGUCAAAUGCGAAAGUAAAGAUCAAAUUGUGUUCAAGUUUGGCUUGCAAAGGUUUUGUGAGUUGUUGAUGGAAGACGGGGUGUUGAAGCUUAUUUAAUUAGGAAACUGUUCGGAAUCUAAGAAAUAGGUUCGGCUUGUGUGGCGCAUACACUUUGAUCAGCAGUAUCAGUAUGUCUCUCGGUAGAGAGUUAGAAGCCUAGGUUGCAGCCAGGAGAAACAGUGAAGUAAGUUCAACCAGGUGGAGUUUAAAGCUCGGUUGAAGCCAGAAGUGAUAGUAAAGCAAUAUCAACCAGAUUCUCGAAGUGUUGCAUUUAUGCAAGUCAAGUGUCUCGUAUGUUGAGGUUAAGGGAUAUUGGAAAAUUGGUUCUUUUGCAGUUUGAGUAGUAUGAGUUUAAGGGAGGAUGUUGGAGUUUUAACUAAACUCAAACUACAAAGUCUGACAAGGUCUUAGGACCUGGACGUUGGGUUAAUAGUAUGUAAGUAAUGUGCGCAUAAAAUUGAUGUUUACUGCGUUGUUCGUGACUAAGUCACAGGUUAGUGGUGUUAGUUGGGUAUGUUAGUCCCAGUCUUUAGGAGAGUUUAAUGUCGUUGUAACGUGCGCUGUAGUGCCUAUUCUUUAGGAUAUCAGUUGAGUCUGCAAAACACCUAUAUAAAGGCAAUUCUUGUAAUCAGUAAAGUUGUAGGAUGAAUACAAUGUAGAUAUUCAAAGAUAUUUAUUGUUUGAUACUCUCGGCUCUCUCUCUCUAUGCCAAAUCCUACAAGUAGAAGCAAUGACAAUGGGUGUCAGACAACUAACUUCUAUUGAAGGUAAUUUUCUUGCUGCCUCCUAUUUCUCAUACACUUCGUACAUAUUGUACUUAGUCACGAAGCUUGGUUAUACCGCCUAAAUUCUAUGUCGCAUGUUUGGCUACAUUAGUAAAUGAUUACUAUGAAGAAUAACUCCGAUAGUGCUGAGACUGGAUCUUUAUUGCAUUUGUUGAAAAACUAAAUUAUUACUCAUGGCUUGAGUUAAACACUGGGUGUAACGGCGGUGACCUAGUGGGCCAAAAUACUGAUUUUUGUCUUUAUAUAAAUUUUCAUUGGUUCUUCUAAAAGUGUCUCUAAGGUAGGUGUAAAAAAAACACCCCUCAUCGCCCCAUCGGAACUGAAGUAACCCUUCGUAGCA
Papaver somniferum (opium poppy) is the source of this 1297-nucleotide long non-coding RNA. RefSeq lists it as uncharacterized. The transcript has 2 exons. The record is from RefSeq and is a predicted model, not a curated record. Lineage: Eukaryota; Viridiplantae; Streptophyta; Magnoliopsida; Ranunculales; Papaveraceae.